Molecule: ribosomal RNA, 441 nt
Filed under: uncultured bacterium
Lineage: Bacteria
Description: bacterial SSU rRNA
Rfam family: Bacterial small subunit ribosomal RNA
Source: RNAcentral
UCGGGAAUUUUGGGCAAUGGGCGAAAGCCUGACCCAGCAACGCCGCGUGAAGGAUGAAGUAUUUCGGUAUGUAAACUUCGAAAGAAUAGGAAGAAUAAAUGACGGUACUAUUUAUAAGGUCCGGCUAACUACGUGCCAGCAGCCGCGGUAAUACGUAGGGACCAAGCGUUGUUCGGAUUUACUGGGCGUAAAGGGCGCGUAGGCGGCAAUUCAAGUCAUCUGUGAAAUCUCCGGGCUUAACUCGGAACGGUCAGAUGAUACUGCUUUGCUAGAGUGCAGAAGGGGCAAUCGGAAUUCUUGGUGUAGCGGUGAAAUGCGUAGAUAUCAAGAGGAACACCUGAGGUGAAGACGGGUUGCUGGGCUGACACUCAAGUGCGAAAGCGUGGGGAGCAAACAGGAUUAGAUACCCGCGUAGUCCCUGAGCGGGCUGGCAAGGCGCAU